Molecule: non-coding RNA, 148 nt
Filed under: Nomascus leucogenys (northern white-cheeked gibbon)
Lineage: Eukaryota; Metazoa; Chordata; Mammalia; Primates; Hylobatidae
Source: Rfam by way of RNAcentral
GCCAGGCAUGGUGGCACGUGCCUGUAAUCCCAGCUACUCGGGAGGCUGAGGCAGGAGAAUUGCUUGAACCCAGGAGGUGGAGGUUGCAGUGAGCCGAGAUAGUGCCACUGCACUCCAUCCUAGGUGACAGAGCAAGACUCUGUCUCAA